ACUGUCCGAAAAUUAUCAAAAAAUUUAAUUCGUAAACGUCCAAAAAAUGUUAAAAUCAAGAAAAAGACAUAAAAACGACUAAAAAAAAUUCUGAAUCGCACUUGUCACAUGAGAAUAUCAAUACGAAUAAAAUGUCAAAAUUUCACAUUUUUAUGUGACUGCCAUAAAAUAUAAAAAAAUUAAUUUUUAAACGUCCGAAAAAUAUAAAAAUCAAGAAAA
RNAcentral lists this long non-coding RNA (219 nucleotides) under Solanum tuberosum (potato). RNAcentral's name for it is "long non-coding RNA (STUB_LNC000335)". Lineage: Eukaryota; Viridiplantae; Streptophyta; Magnoliopsida; Solanales; Solanaceae. The record is from RNAcentral.